RNAcentral lists this ribosomal RNA (252 nucleotides) under uncultured Bacteroidales bacterium. Its description in RNAcentral is "partial 16S ribosomal RNA". It matches the Rfam family "Bacterial small subunit ribosomal RNA", at positions 524 to 776 of the family's 1533-position model. Lineage: Bacteria; Pseudomonadati; Bacteroidota; Bacteroidia; Bacteroidales. The record is from RNAcentral.
UACGGAGGAUGCGAGCGUUAUCCGGAUUUAUUGGGUUUAAAGGGUGCGCAGGCGGAAUGUCAAGUCAGCGGUAAAAUUUCGGGGCUCAACCCCGGCGAGCCGUUGAAACUGGCUGUCUUGAGAUGUCGAGAGGUAUGCGGAAUGCGCAGUGUAGCGGUGAAAUGCUUAGAUAUUAGGAAGAACACCAGUGGCGAAGGCGGAUGACUGGACGACAACUGACGGUGAGGCGCGAAAGCGUGGGGAGCAAACAGG